GACGAACGCUGGCGGCGCGCCUAACACAUGCAAGUCGAACGAAGUUUGCCGGAUUGAUCCUUCGGGUGAUUGAUAGUAAAUUUAGUGGCGGACGGGUGAGUAACACGUGAGCAACCUGCCUUACAGAGGGGGAUAACGUUUGGUAACGAACGCUAAUACCGCAUAACACCUUUGGGGGUACGAUCCCUUCGGGGUCGAAAGGAGCAAUCCGCUGUAAGAUGGCCUCGCGUCCGAUUAGCUAGUUGGUGAGGUAACGGCCCACCAAGGCGACGAUCGGUAGCCGGACUGAGAGGUUGAACGGCCACAUUGGGACUGAGACACGGCCCAG
RNAcentral lists this ribosomal RNA (328 nucleotides) under uncultured bacterium. RNAcentral describes it as "bacterial SSU rRNA". It matches the Rfam family "Bacterial small subunit ribosomal RNA", at positions 28 to 334 of the family's 1533-position model. The record is from RNAcentral.